Long non-coding RNA from Mastomys coucha (southern multimammate mouse), 786 nucleotides. RefSeq lists it as uncharacterized. The transcript is spliced from 2 exons. Lineage: Eukaryota; Metazoa; Chordata; Mammalia; Rodentia; Muridae. The record is from RefSeq and is a predicted model, not a curated record.
AGUCUUCCCAGAGUGAGAGCCUCUGCUUCAAACAAUAAGAUGUAGACUGUCCGAGGACAAAGCAAUAGAUCACGUGUCCUCCAUACACACGACACACAGACAAGUGAGGUCCACAGAGGUUGCGAUGAAGAGUACGGCAGAGAGAGCCGGGUUGAUGGCAUGUAUGCAGAAGGCAUCUUUAACUUGAGGAGUCUCAGGGUCAUGAUCAAGGGGAUGAACUGGCUGGGGAAGUCCCACCAAGCUCCACUGCUUAGGAUGCAGUGUGAUUCAGCACAUUUAAAUUAGAAUGGAGAAAUCAAAGUUUUGAACGACCUGCCAGGACUGUGAGGAAAGAAAAGUUUAGAGCACCAGAGCUAGGAGCCACAGGAAACUGAGCUGCCUGGGAUUUUAAACAUCUAACUGGGUAAAUUAAACUGACUAGUUUCUGCAGCUGUACUCCUGCCUAACGAAACAAGGAUUCAAAGCACUUCCAAAGUCAAUUCCCAUCAGACUGACGACAAGCAUAAUUACUUAAAUAUUUAGGAUCAUAAAGCAAAGGUUAUUUGCUUCCUACAUCCUAUCAGAGCCUUAUUUAUGCACUAGCCUUGAUUUACCUCACAGCUACGCUGAGGACCAGCACCAAUAGACGUGGAUCACAGCAUCCACAGAACCACCUACAAUGCCAAGGAGAUUUAACAAUCUCACCAAGACAAAUCUGCAGCAAUUUCAGGAACCUUCUGAUAGAGACUUUGAAAAUGUAGAUUCCCAACAAAUAGAUAAAUAAAUAAUAAAUAAAUAAAUAGUAAU